CGCACAUUGCGCCCCCUGGCAUUCCGGGGGGCAUGCCCGUUCGAGCGUCAUUACACCACUCAAGCCUGGCUUGGUAUUGGGCGUCGGGAUGCACCCGCGCCUCCAUGUGAAUUCGGCUGGACGGUUUGGAUCUCAGCGUUGUGGCAACCAGUUCGCCGACGUGAAGGACCGGACGCGCCGUUAAACCUCCAUCAAAGGUUGACCUCGGAUCGGGUAGGGAUACCCGCUGAACUUAA
This 236-nucleotide unclassified non-coding RNA is filed under the name fungal sp. RNAcentral describes it as "partial contains 5.8S ribosomal RNA, internal transcribed spacer 2, and large subunit ribosomal RNA". Lineage: Eukaryota; Fungi. The record is from RNAcentral.